This is a long non-coding RNA of Canis lupus familiaris (dog), 1590 nucleotides long. RefSeq lists it as uncharacterized. The record is from RefSeq and is a predicted model, not a curated record. Lineage: Eukaryota; Metazoa; Chordata; Mammalia; Carnivora; Canidae. The transcript has 3 exons.
AGGUGUUGAAAGAUCUGUAUUCCGUAGAAUACUCUCAAAUGUUUGCCUGUUUUCAUUUUUAGCCAUUUAGUUCUCAUGGCUCUGUUCCAGGACUCUUUAAUUUGCCAGUAGCUGUUUUCCUACACAGAUUACAGGAGUAAUUCAUCAGUGAAUGUUUCACUCAGUGGUCUCAUCUAAUAUUAAUAAAAACAAGGAGCAGUGUGCUUCCUUUACAUGUCCUUAAAGAGACUACUGAGGCCAAGGUGAAGCAUCAAGCAAUUCUGAAGUGCUUCCAAGAUAUGUUGGCUGUUCCCAAGACUCCAAGUUAUCAAUAUGGAAACCUACUUACUCUUUCUACAAGGCAAAGCUUCCCAUCCUGAAAAACAAAGGUUUCUUUGGAGCUGCAACCGAUCCAAGUCUUUGGUGCUGAGGACAACAGACAUGAACAAAACUACCAUGGCUCAGGCUUUGUGGAGCACAGGUCCUGUGGGAGAGAGAGACAAUAAACAAACAAGCAUAAAUUAUAUCGCAUGGUGAUAAGAGCCAUAGGGAAAACAAAGCAUGGUAUUGGGGGGAGUAUCUGCUGAGGGGAGGGCUCCAUGCCAUUUUAUAAAAGGAGAAUAGGGGGUCCUCUCUAAGAAAAUGACAUUUGAUGAGAUCUGAAGGAAGUUGUGAGUGAUCUAUACAGAUGUCUGCAAGAAGAAUGUUCUAGGCAGUGGGAACAAGUGGAAAAGACUUGAGACUGGAGUGUGCCUGAUAUUUUUCAUAGCUAAGUAAAGAAAGAAGCUCCAUAUGUCCAUGUGACUCACUGCUAUCUCCAUCAGUAUAUAUUGGCACCGAAUCUUGUUUUCCACUGAGAAAGUCAUUAACUUCAUCAGAAACUGAACAGGAUUGGCCAGCUUAUCCCAAAGUUUCAUCAAGAAAUGGAAGCAGAAUGUGAAAUUCCUUACUUGCAUGCCAGAGUUUUCUGAUUUUCCACAAGGCAAAUCUUGAAGCAUCUGAUUAACCUCCAUGCAGAUAUUUACAUUUUUAUUUUUAUUUGUUUGACAGAGAAAAGGAAAGACAAUUCCAAGAACAGCUUUUCAGAACAGAGUCCAUUAAUGAUAUGCCUUAUUUGGAAGCCACGUUUAGACACAUUCAUGUGGCAUAUUAUCGUACUCAAGGUCUUUCCUCACUAUCACGGAGUCUAUUGCAAGAAUACGUGCAUUCAGAGAAGAUUGGAGAUAAAGGACUAUAUAUGUCAUGGUAAUGAAGUAUUUUUACAGCCUGGAAUUAAGAAUGGCAAAGCUUCAAUGUCUCUGUAAGCAGAAAGUUGCAGAUAUACCUGGAAAUUUUAAAAACAAAACAAAACCAAAAAAAAAUUUUGAAGUUACUUCUACUUAGGGAACUGAAAUCAAAACAUGAAAUCCUUAUAAUUUUCUUGCUGACACUGGCAGCAUUCAUGUCAUAGCCCUUCUUAAAGGUAGCUUCUUUGGCUUGAGGACAAAGAAAAUGAUGUUACAUGAAUUCAGCUACUCAAUGCAGAAGCUUAGAUGGUCUCUGGAAUUCCCCAUAUAAACUCACCCUCAUCUGGAAAAGUGAAUUAUGAGAGGGUUAGUUUUAAAGUCAAAG